Molecule: ribosomal RNA, 612 nt
Filed under: uncultured bacterium
Lineage: Bacteria
Description: bacterial SSU rRNA
Rfam family: Bacterial small subunit ribosomal RNA (bases 1-524)
Source: RNAcentral
CCUACGGGAGGCAGCAGUGAGGAAUAUUCCACAAUGGGGGAAACCCUGAUGGAGCGAUGCCGCGUGCAGGAAGACGCUUUUCGGAGUGUAAACUGCUUUUAACAAGGAAGAUUAUGACGGUACUUGUAGAAUAAGGACCGGCUAACUACGUGCCAGCAGCCGCGGUAAUACGUAGGGUCCAAGCGUUAUUCGGAAUUACUGGGCGUAAAGCGUUCGUAGGCGGUUUGAUAAGUUGGAUGUGAAAUCCUGUGGCUCAACCACAUGGACUGUGUCCAAAACUAUCUGACUAGAGCAUAGUAGAGGCAAGUGGAAUUUGCGGUGUAGGAGUGACAUCCGUAGAUAUCGCAAGGAACACCAAUGGCGAAGGCAGCUUGCUGGGCUAUUGCUGACGCUCAGGAACGAAAGCGUGGGGAGCGAACGGGAUUAGAUACCCCGGGUAGUCCACGCCGUAAACGAUGAUCACUAGCAGUAUGGAGAUUCCGACCCUUCUGUUGUUGCACAGCUACGUACGUAGUAGAUCCGCCGUCGGGUAGGUACGGGCGGCGAGACGUUAAACUACAAGUAGUAGUAGACGGCGUGAGACGUGCCGACGGACGACGACGAGGGAGGAGG